Molecule: transfer RNA, 73 nt
Rfam family: tRNA
About the family: Transfer RNA (tRNA) molecules are approximately 80 nucleotides in length. Their secondary structure includes four short double-helical elements and three loops (D, anti-codon, and T loops). Further hydrogen bonds mediate the characteristic L-shaped molecular structure. tRNAs have two regions of fundamental functional importance: the anti-codon, which is responsible for specific mRNA codon recognition, and the 3' end, to which the tRNAs corresponding amino acid is attached (by aminoacyl-tRNA synthetases). tRNAs cope with the degeneracy of the genetic code in two manners: having more than one tRNA (with a specific anti-codon) for a particular amino acid; and 'wobble' base-pairing, i.e. permitting non-standard base-pairing at the 3rd anti-codon position.
Source: Rfam
CGCGGGGUGGAGCAGUUGGCAGCUCGUCGGGCUCAUAACCCGAAGGUCGUAGGUUCAAGUCCUGCCCCCGCAA